Molecule: non-coding RNA, 74 nt
Organism: Trichonephila inaurata madagascariensis
Lineage: Eukaryota; Metazoa; Arthropoda; Arachnida; Araneae; Nephilidae
Source: the annotation of a GenBank genome assembly
GGCGCCGUGGCUUAGUUGGUUAAAGCGCCCGUUCAGUAAUCAGGAGAUCACGAGUUCAAAUCUCUUCGGUGCCC